GGCGGCGGCAGCGGCCCCUUCCAGCGUCUGCCGGCCAGCGGGCUUCCAGCGGGACCUGGCGGAGUCUGGCCACCUCCGUGGGCACAGUGACCGCAGCACAAGCCGCGGCCGCAGUCCUGGAAAAGCGGCAACGCCUGGCACCUGCACUGCUGCGUGUGACCAGCCGCAGAGUCGGGCGCGGUGCAGGUGGGUCCGUCUGCGUCUCUGAGCCCCGGGAGGGGCCCAGCACCCCCCCCCACCAUGCUGUCUGUGUGAAUAAAGAUUUUGCAGUGGCCCUGA
Molecule: long non-coding RNA, 279 nt
Organism: Condylura cristata (star-nosed mole)
Lineage: Eukaryota; Metazoa; Chordata; Mammalia; Eulipotyphla; Talpidae
Exons: 2
Source: RefSeq, a predicted model, not a curated record